This is a long non-coding RNA of Bos taurus (domestic cattle), 1493 nucleotides long. The record is from Ensembl. NCBI's taxonomy places the organism in Eukaryota, Metazoa, Chordata, Mammalia, Artiodactyla, Bovidae.
GGGGACCUGUUAGCAAGCCAGAAGACAACACCUCUGCAAAUGGCUGCUGCAACUCCAAGUUCUACAUUUUCAUACAAGGCAGAAAGAUGAAGGAAACUGUGCUGAAAUUUGCAUCAAUCUCUUUCAUCAGGAAAGCAAGAAAGUUUCUCCCAAAUCCUUUCAGCAGACUUCAAUGCAAGCCUCACUGGCCAAAAGCUUCUGACAUGACCAUUCCCCAAUGUCAGAUAGUUUGAUGGGACAGAGUUGAUAUUUCUGGCCACGGUCCUGGAAGACAGUCAGAGAAGAAAUGGCCAGUGGGCCGCCUGGGACAUCCACACCUCUCCUCCUGUACUUGCCAUUUCCUUUGGACUGCAAGCUCUCUACGAGCAAGGAUUUGCCUUGUCUGUGUUCAUGAAUUAGUCAGUUACUCAGGAGCCAUGUGGUCAUUUAUUUGAGGGGAAGGGGAACAAACGGAUUGCAGAGGAACAUCUUGGCUGAAAACAUACUGGAGAAGUUUAAGGAAGAACUUGAGACUCUUCACACCAAGGAGCAAAAUCAACUUGCUCAGACAUGUGAAAAGCAUGGAGAAAGUGUGAAUCUGAUGUGCCUAAGUGAUGAAGAACCAAUAUGUGGAAUGUGCAAGCUCUUUGGGGACCACAAGACUCACCCAGUAGCCAAGAUUUCUGAUGCCUAUGCAGAGAGGAAAGUGAACUUUGCUAAGGAUAUUCAGCUGGUGCUGCAGAAAUCUGAGAGCGCGGCACAGGCAGUACAGGACAUGGAGAAGCUCAUCAGGGAACUCUCUACCAGCGCCACUGACACACUGGCCAUGAUCGACGCCAUCGGAGACAGCCUGCUCAGUGGCAUCAAAUGUCGUAUUGCCACCUUGAAAAAGCAACUGCAGAGUGAGCACUGCUCCAAGCUGGAGAAGUUACAGCUGGUUGCCCGGGAACUUGAAGCCCCCCGAGAGCUUUACCAGCAGAUGAAGAUGCUCCUGCAGCAUCAUGCUAACACAGUGCAAUUUCUCCACGAGCAUAAAAGGCUCAAGGGGGAGAUGAAGAGACUCGUGGAGGGCAGCGUGUCCCCCGCAGUCCCCACCAAGGACACUAUUUCCAUCAGGCGCUAUUUUCAAGAGCUCAUUAGAGGAAUAGACAUCACUGCCUUUGCCCCGCCUGAGACUGACCAAGUGCCGGCCAGCAUGGCUGGGCUCCAAGAGGCCUGGCAGGCAGGCUGUGCCAUGCAGGGCCGUCUGUCGCAACAAGUGCUUGAGGAUAUUUUGUGCAAGGCAGUGUCGGGCUCAGGGCCAAAACCAAAUCAAGAGGCAAAGCUUCCUAGGAACCCAUCUUAUGCUUACUCAGUACAAGGAAGUGAGAUUGGUUCUAGAGAAUCAACCGUGUAAGGUAUUAUUUUGGUCUCAAGAUGUCAACAACUUUUAUCAUUUUGUCUGUAACUUGAAAGUUGCUGGACUUUGCUUCUUAAAAAGAAAAUUAAAAAAUUCUACAUUGUGGUUUCUCUUU